UUAAGUUGAAUCUAUGUUUCAUGAAACACUGAAGUUCUGUGUGUGCAAUGAAGCAACAGCUGCACUGAGGGGGAAACACCAUGAUAUGUUGAGGACAGCUACAGUUCACUGACUCUGUGUGUUUGCAUAUGUGUCCUUCCUCUCUGCUCCCAGCCGUUAAGAGGCCAGUGUUGAUCAGUGGCUGUCCAGACCUUUCGGAGCCACUGACACGCCGGCAGCACAAUGAGGAUGUCACUGACUCUACUGCUGGCCACCCUGGGGCUCCUUGUUCAGGAUUCAUCAGGAGAAAUCAUCCUGACUCAGUCUCCUAAAGCUCAGUCUGUUGUUCCAGGACAGACUGUCUCUAUCAGAUGUAAAGCCAGUUCAAGUAUGGGCAGCUACCUUCACUGGUACCUUCAGAAACCCGGAGAAUCUCCCAAACUUUUGAUUCAUUAUGCCACAACUCGUCAGUCUGGAGUUUCAAAUCGUUUCAGUGGGAGUGGAUCUGGAACUGACUUCACUUUGACCAUCAGUACAGUUCAGAUUGAGGAUGCAGGAGUUUACUAUUGUCUACAGAGUGGUUACAGUUACCCGUUCACACAGUGAUACAACGUCGUACAAACACCUCCCUCAGCUGGAGAGCAACUGAUCUGAAUCAACAGCUGCACAGAAAUACAGACACUUUAGACAUUUAACAGACAGUGAAGUCCAUAUAACAGAAGACCAUCAGUAAAUAUGAUGUAUAGCGUAGUAAGUCCUAAUGGUAACUUUG
This is a non-coding RNA of Dicentrarchus labrax (European seabass), 751 nucleotides long. The record is from the annotation of a RefSeq genome assembly. NCBI's taxonomy places the organism in Eukaryota, Metazoa, Chordata, Actinopteri, Moronidae.